GAUGAACGCUGACAGAAUGCUUAACACAUGCAAGUCUUUGGCGAAGCUGUGCUUGCACAGCCUAGCCAAGGCGGACGGGUGAGUAACGCGUAAGGAACUUGCCCUGCAGUCAGGGAUAACAGACGGAAACGACUGAUAAGACCUGGUAAAGUCAGGCGGACUCAUGUCCAGCCUGAUGAAAAGAGAUGCUGCAGGAGAGCCUUGCGUCCUAUUAGCUUGUUGGUGGGGUAACGGCCCACCAAGGUGAUGAUAGGUAGCCGGCCUGAGAGGGUGGACGGCCACAAGGGGACUGAGAUACGGCCCUUACUCCUACGGGAGGCAGCAGUGGGGAAUAUUGGACAAUGGGGGCAACCCUGAUCCAGCAAUUCUGUGUGCACGAUGAAGGUUUUCGGAUUGUAAAGUGCUUUCAGCAGGGAAGAAAAAAAUGACGGUACCUGCAGAAGAAGCGACGGCUAAAUACGUG
This 463-nucleotide ribosomal RNA is filed under the name uncultured bacterium. Its description in RNAcentral is "partial 16S ribosomal RNA". It matches the Rfam family "Bacterial small subunit ribosomal RNA", at positions 28 to 507 of the family's 1533-position model. The record is from RNAcentral.